This 661-nucleotide ribosomal RNA is filed under the name uncultured fungus. RNAcentral describes it as "eukaryotic LSU rRNA". It matches the Rfam family "Eukaryotic large subunit ribosomal RNA", at positions 23 to 664 of the family's 3401-position model. The record is from RNAcentral. Lineage: Eukaryota; Fungi.
ACCCGCUGAACUUAAGCAUAUCAAUAAGCGGAGGAAAAGAAACUAACAAGGAUUCCCCUAGUAACUGCGAGUGAAGAGGGAAAAGCUCAAAUUUAAAAUCUGGCAGUCUCUGAUUGUCCGAGUUGUAGUUUAGAGAAACACUAUCCGUGCUGGCCUGUGCAUAAGUCUCUUGGAAAAGAGUAUCAUAGAGGGUGACAAUCCCGUCUUUGGCAUGGACUCCCAGUGCAUUCGUGAUGUGUUCUCAACGAGUCGAGUUGUUUGGGAAUGCAGCUCUAAAUGGGUGGUAAAUUCCAUCUAAAGCUAAAUAUUGGCGAGAAACCGAUAGCGAACAAGUACCGUGAGGGAAAGAUGAAAAGAACUUUGAAAAGAGAGUUAAACAGUACGUGAAAUUGUUGAGAGGGAAACGCUUGAAGUCAGUCGCAUCUUUUUGAAAUCAACCUAGCCUUUGGGUGGGCGUACUUUCUUUGAGAUGGGUCAGCAUCAAUUUUGAUCGUUGGAUAAAGGUGGGGGAAAUGUGGCAUCUUCGGAUGUGUUAUAGUCUCCUAUCCAAAUACAAUGGUUGGGAUUGAGGAACUCAGUGUGACUCAUGUUUGGGGCUUUGCCUACACACGCACUUAGGAUGCUGGCAUAAUGGCUUUAAUCGACCCGUCUUGAAACACGG